Molecule: ribosomal RNA, 2898 nt
Filed under: Klebsiella pneumoniae
Lineage: Bacteria; Pseudomonadati; Pseudomonadota; Gammaproteobacteria; Enterobacterales; Enterobacteriaceae
Description: 23S ribosomal RNA
Rfam family: Bacterial large subunit ribosomal RNA
Source: RNAcentral
UUAAGCGACUAAGCGUACACGGUGGAUGCCCUGGCAGUCAGAGGCGAUGAAGGACGUGCUAAUCUGCGAAAAGCGUCGGUAAGGUGAUAUGAACCGUUAUAACCGGCGAUGUCCGAAUGGGGAAACCCAGUGCAAUUCGUUGCACUAUCGUUAACUGAAUACAUAGGUUAACGAGGCGAACCGGGGGAACUGAAACAUCUAAGUACCCCGAGGAAAAGAAAUCAACCGAGAUUCCCCCAGUAGCGGCGAGCGAACGGGGAGCAGCCCAGAGUCUGAAUCAGCUUGUGUGUUAGUGGAACGGUCUGGAAAGUCCGACGGUACAGGGUGAUAGUCCCGUACACCAAAAUGCACAGGCUGUGAACUCGAAGAGUAGGGCGGGACACGUGGUAUCCUGUCUGAAUAUGGGGGGACCAUCCUCCAAGGCUAAAUACUCCUGACUGACCGAUAGUGAACCAGUACCGUGAGGGAAAGGCGAAAAGAACCCGGCGAGGGGAGUGAAAAAGAACCUGAAACCGUGUACGUACAAGCAGUGGGAGCACCUUCGGGUGUGACUGCGUACCUUUUGUAUAAUGGGUCAGCGACUUAUAUUCUGUAGCAAGGUUAACCGUAUAGGGGAGCCGCAGGGAAACCGAGUCUUAACUGGGCGUUAAGUUGCAGGGUAUAGACCCGAAACCCGGUGAUCUAGCCAUGGGCAGGUUGAAGGUUGGGUAACACUAACUGGAGGACCGAACCGACUAAUGUUGAAAAAUUAGCGGAUGACUUGUGGCUGGGGGUGAAAGGCCAAUCAAACCGGGAGAUAGCUGGUUCUCCCCGAAAGCUAUUUAGGUAGCGCCUCGUGAAUUCAUCUUCGGGGGUAGAGCACUGUUUCGGCUAGGGGGUCAUCCCGACUUACCAACCCGAUGCAAACUACGAAUACCGAAGAAUGUUAUCACGGGAGACACACGGCGGGUGCUAACGUCCGUCGUGAAGAGGGAAACAACCCAGACCGCCAGCUAAGGUCCCAAAGUCAUGGUUAAGUGGGAAACGAUGUGGGAAGGCACAGACAGCCAGGAUGUUGGCUUAGAAGCAGCCAUCAUUUAAAGAAAGCGUAAUAGCUCACUGGUCGAGUCGGCCUGCGCGGAAGAUGUAACGGGGCUAAACCAUGCACCGAAGCUGCGGCAGCGACACUAUGUGUUGUUGGGUAGGGGAGCGUUCUGUAAGCCUGCGAAGGUGACCUGUGAGGGUUGCUGGAGGUAUCAGAAGUGCGAAUGCUGACAUAAGUAACGAUAAAGCGGGUGAAAAGCCCGCUCGCCGGAAGACCAAGGGUUCCUGUCCAACGUUAAUCGGGGCAGGGUGAGUCGACCCCUAAGGCGAGGCCGAAAGGCGUAGUCGAUGGGAAACAGGUUAAUAUUCCUGUACUUGGUGUUACUGCGAAGGGGGGACGGAGAAGGCUAUGUUAGCCGGGCGACGGUUGUCCCGGUUUAAGCAUGUAGGCUGGUUAUCCAGGCAAAUCCGGAUAAUCAAGGCUGAGGUGUGAUGACGAGGCACUACGGUGCUGAAGUAACAAAUGCCCUGCUUCCAGGAAAAGCCUCUAAGCAUCAGGUAACAUCAAAUCGUACCCCAAACCGACACAGGUGGUCAGGUAGAGAAUACCAAGGCGCUUGAGAGAACUCGGGUGAAGGAACUAGGCAAAAUGGUGCCGUAACUUCGGGAGAAGGCACGCUGGUGUGUAGGUGAAGUCCCUGCGGAUGGAGCUGAGACCAGUCGAAGAUACCAGCUGGCUGCAACUGUUUAUUAAAAACACAGCACUGUGCAAACACGAAAGUGGACGUAUACGGUGUGACGCCUGCCCGGUGCCGGAAGGUUAAUUGAUGGGGUUAUCCGUAAGGAGAAGCUCUUGAUCGAAGCCCCGGUAAACGGCGGCCGUAACUAUAACGGUCCUAAGGUAGCGAAAUUCCUUGUCGGGUAAGUUCCGACCUGCACGAAUGGCGUAAUGAUGGCCAGGCUGUCUCCACCCGAGACUCAGUGAAAUUGAACUCGCUGUGAAGAUGCAGUGUACCCGCGGCAAGACGGAAAGACCCCGUGAACCUUUACUAUAGCUUGACACUGAACAUUGAGCCUUGAUGUGUAGGAUAGGUGGGAGGCUUUGAAGCGUGGACGCCAGUCUGCGUGGAGCCAACCUUGAAAUACCACCCUUUAAUGUUUGAUGUUCUAACGUUGGCCCCUUACCGGGGUUGCGGACAGUGUCUGGUGGGUAGUUUGACUGGGGCGGUCUCCUCCCAAAGCGUAACGGAGGAGCACGAAGGUUAGCUAAUCCUGGUCGGACAUCAGGAGGUUAGUGCAAUGGCAUAAGCUAGCUUGACUGCGAGCGUGACGGCGCGAGCAGGUGCGAAAGCAGGUCAUAGUGAUCCGGUGGUUCUGAAUGGAAGGGCCAUCGCUCAACGGAUAAAAGGUACUCCGGGAUAACAGGCUGAUACCGCCCAAGAGUUCAUAUCGACGGCGGUGUUUGGCACCUCGAUGUCGGCUCAUCACAUCCUGGGGCUGAAGUAGGUCCCAAGGGUAUGGCUGUUCGCCAUUUAAAGUGGUACGCGAGCUGGGUUUAGAACGUCGUGAGACAGUUCGGUCCCUAUCUGCCGUGGGCGCUGGAGAAUUGAGGGGGGCUGCUCCUAGUACGAGAGGACCGGAGUGGACGCAUCACUGGUGUUCGGGUUGUCAUGCCAAUGGCACUGCCCGGUAGCUAAAUGCGGAAGAGAUAAGUGCUGAAAGCAUCUAAGCACGAAACUUGCCCCGAGAUGAGUUCUCCCUGAGACUUUAAGUCUCCUGAAGGAACGUUAAAGACGAUGACGUUGAUAGGCCGGGUGUGUAAGCGCAGCGAUGCGUUGAGCUAACCGGUACUAAUGAACCGUGAGGCUUAACCUU